Molecule: ribosomal RNA, 467 nt
Filed under: uncultured bacterium
Lineage: Bacteria
Description: partial 16S ribosomal RNA
Rfam family: Bacterial small subunit ribosomal RNA
Source: RNAcentral
ACGAACGCUGGCGGCGUGCUUAACACAUGCAAGUCGAACGGAAAGGCCCUGCUUUUGUGGGGUGCUCGAGUGGCGAACGGGUGAGUAACACGUGAGUAACCUGCCCUUGACUUUGGGAUAACUUCAGGAAACUGGGGCUAAUACCGGAUAGGAGCUCCUGCUGCAUGGUGGGGGUUGGAAAGUCUCGGCGGUUGGGGAUGGACUCGCGGCUUAUCAGCUUGUUGGUGGGGUAGUGGCUUACCAAGGCUUUGACGGGUAGCCGGCCUGAGAGGGUGACCGGCCACAUUGGGACUGAGAUACGGCCCAGACUCCUACGGGAGGCAGCAGUGGGGAAUAUUGCACAAUGGGCGGAAGCCUGAUGCAGCAACGCCGCGUGCGGGAUGACGGCCUUCGGGUUGUAAACCGCUUUCGCCUGUGACGAAGCGUGAGUGACGGUAAUGGGUAAAGAAGCACCGGCUAACUACGUG